RNAcentral lists this non-coding RNA (24 nucleotides) under Arabidopsis thaliana (thale cress). Lineage: Eukaryota; Viridiplantae; Streptophyta; Magnoliopsida; Brassicales; Brassicaceae. The record is from RNAcentral.
AAGCCCUUGAGCCGACGACGGGAC